Molecule: non-coding RNA, 72 nt
Organism: Phrynosoma platyrhinos (Desert horned lizard)
Lineage: Eukaryota; Metazoa; Chordata; Lepidosauria; Squamata; Phrynosomatidae
Source: the annotation of a GenBank genome assembly
UACAGCGUGGCAUAGUGGUUUGAGCACUAGACUAAAAUUCUGGAGACCAGGGUUCAAUUCCCAGCUUGGUCA